GAAAUACCACCCUUGUAUGUUUGAUGUUCUAACUUAGCCCCGUUAUCCGGGGUGAGGACAGUGCCUGGUGGGUAGUUUGACUGGGGCGGUCUCCUCCCAAAGAGUAACGGAGGAGCACGAAGGUGGGCUAAUCACGGUUGGACAUCGUGAGGUUAGUGCAAUGGCAUAAGCCCGCUUAACUGCGAGAAUGACGGUUCGAGCAGGUGCGAAAGCAGGUCAUAGUGAUCCGGUGGUUCUGUAUGGAAGGGCCAUCGCUCAACGGAUAAAAGGUACUCCGGGGAUAACAGGCUGAUACCGCCCAAGAGUUCAUAUCGACGGCGGUGUUUGGCACCUCGAUGUCGGCUCAUCACAUCCUGGGGCUGAAGUCGGUCCCAAGGGUAUGGCUGUUCGCCAUUUAAAGUGGUACGCGAGCUGGGUUUAGAACGUCGUGAGACAGUUCGGUCCCUAUCUGCCGUGGGCGUUGGAAGAUUGAAGGGGGCUGCUCCUAGUACGAGAGGACCGGAGUGGACGAACCUCUGGUGUUCGGGUUGUGUCGCCAGACGCAUUGCCCGGUAGCUAAGUUCGGAAUCGAUAACCGCUGAAAGCAUCUAAGCGGGAAGCGAGCCCUGAGAUGAGUCUUCCCUGAUACUUUAAGUAUCCUAAAGGGUUGUUCGAGACUAGAACGUUGAUAGGCAGGGUGUGUAAGCGUUGUGAGGCGUUGAGCUAACCUGUACUAAUUGCCCGUGAGGCUUAACCAU
Molecule: ribosomal RNA, 737 nt
Filed under: Vibrio fluvialis
Lineage: Bacteria; Pseudomonadati; Pseudomonadota; Gammaproteobacteria; Vibrionales; Vibrionaceae
Description: partial 23S ribosomal RNA
Rfam family: Bacterial large subunit ribosomal RNA
Source: RNAcentral